This 472-nucleotide ribosomal RNA is filed under the name Lactobacillus delbrueckii subsp. bulgaricus. Its description in RNAcentral is "partial 23S ribosomal RNA". It matches the Rfam family "Bacterial large subunit ribosomal RNA", at positions 1 to 618 of the family's 2925-position model. The record is from RNAcentral. Lineage: Bacteria; Bacillati; Bacillota; Bacilli; Lactobacillales; Lactobacillaceae.
UUGCAAGGUCAAGUGAAGAAGGGCGCACGGUGAAUGCCUUGGCACUGGAAGCCGAUGAAGGACGCGACUAACCGCGAAAGUCUUCGGGGAGCCGUAAGUAGGCUUUGAUCCGGAGGUCUCCGAAUGGGGGAACCCAGCAUGUGCAGACAUGCUAUCCUUAAGUGAAUACAUAGCUUAAGGAGGGAACACGCAGUGAACUGAAACAUCUAAGUAGCUGCAGGAAGAGAAAGAAAUAUCGAUUUCCAAAGGAGGCCUAUCAGUAUCCUGAGUAGGGCGGGACACGUGAAAUCCCGUUUGAAUCCGCGAGGACCAUCUCGCAAGGCUAAAUACUAACCAGUGACCGAUAGUGAACCAGUACCGUGAGGGAAAGGUGAAAAGAACCCCGGGAGGGGAGUGAAAGAGAACCUGAAACCGUGUGCCUACAAGUAGUCAGAGCCCGUUAACGGGUAAUGGCGUGCCUUUUGUAGAAUGA